GCUGGUGUAGCUCAGUUGGUAGAGCAGCGCAUUCGUAAUGCGCAGGUCCGCGGUUCAAAUCCGCGCACCAGCUCCA
RNAcentral lists this transfer RNA (76 nucleotides) under Candidatus Krumholzibacteriia bacterium. RNAcentral's name for it is "tRNA-Thr". It matches the Rfam family "tRNA". Rfam says of the family: Transfer RNA (tRNA) molecules are approximately 80 nucleotides in length. Their secondary structure includes four short double-helical elements and three loops (D, anti-codon, and T loops). Further hydrogen bonds mediate the characteristic L-shaped molecular structure. tRNAs have two regions of fundamental functional importance: the anti-codon, which is responsible for specific mRNA codon recognition, and the 3' end, to which the tRNAs corresponding amino acid is attached (by aminoacyl-tRNA synthetases). tRNAs cope with the degeneracy of the genetic code in two manners: having more than one tRNA (with a specific anti-codon) for a particular amino acid; and 'wobble' base-pairing, i.e. permitting non-standard base-pairing at the 3rd anti-codon position. The record is from RNAcentral. Lineage: Bacteria; Candidatus Krumholzibacteriota; Candidatus Krumholzibacteriia. RNAcentral also lists the same sequence under 1 other name.